Molecule: long non-coding RNA, 184 nt
Organism: Sander lucioperca (pikeperch)
Lineage: Eukaryota; Metazoa; Chordata; Actinopteri; Perciformes; Percidae
Exons: 3
Source: RefSeq, a predicted model, not a curated record
AAGUGAGAAGACGACAGUAUAUGAGACAUGCAAUAAUACAGUCAAAAUAUUUGACUUUAUCUUAAAUAAACACGUCAAUAAUCUACAUGUCUGGCCCUCGAUGUGAUUCUCAUUUUCCAGUGUGGCCCUCUGGGAAACUGAGUUUGACCCCCCUGCUGUAGAUGAUCUGAUCUUAACGCAGUAA